UUUAGAAGACAUCUACAAGUAAUUUUCGUUUCUCAAAGUAAUAGUGUACAUCAAUCAAGUCAAGUUUGUCACAAGAAAACCUCAUACGCGAAAACAGUGCUAGCUAUUAAUUAUAGAUUUUAGACUUAUUGAAUUUCGGUAAAAAUGGCCUGUAAGAAAAGUUCAAAUUCAUAUAAGUUUUAUAGUUAAUUAUUUACCAUAAUAUAAGUAUUAAUAUACAGUGCCUAUGUCGAAAUCCUCGCACAAAAUGAAUAAUUUAAGUUUACCAGAUGAUUGCGCGAAGCAGUGGGAAAUUUUGCUGCUGUUGCUUUCCUCGGAGGAGAAAAAAAUAGACCGGACUACAGAGAAAGAAAUCGACACUGUAAAUUAUUUCUACAGGAACGAAGGCGUAAGAAAAAUCCUGCUACAAUGGUUGAAGCAAAUGCACCAAUCAUAUGCGAGGAAGACUUCAGAAUGGGACACUGCACAGAAAUGCGAUGAUGUAUCGUUGUUGUGGAGGCAGCGGGGGAACGACAAGUUCCGGGCUGAAUUGUACGAGGAGAGCUACCAGUGCUACUCCAAGAGUGUGAUGUAUGCUCACCAGAAUGGCCCCAUGUUUCCCCUAGCACUGGCUAACAGGUCUGCUGCUUUGUUGAAGAUGAAAAAAUUCCAGGAGUGCCUCUCUGACGUGGACCUGGCGCUGGAGCACGGCUACCCCCGCGAGCAGCGACACAAGCUGUUGUUGCGCCGCACCGACUGCCACAUCGAGCUGCAGCAGCGGGAGAAGGCACUAGAGUCGCUGCAACUGGCCGCCACGCACGCCCUCUCGCUUGGCCUCUCUGCAGUACAUACAGCGGAGUUCGACCGGCAUAUAAAGAAGUUGGAGGAGAAGUUGGCGAACACGCCGCCCGCGCAGCCUGAGGCGGAGGAGCCCCUGCCGCCGCCCCUCGGCGGGGACAACCCUGACUUUGUGGCCGCCUCCACCGCCUUGGAACUUAGACGCAGUGACGUGGCCGGACGGUACGUGGUGACGCGGGAGCCGCUGCGUCGCGGCGACGUCAUAUUCUCGGAGGAGCCGUAUGCGUGGGUGGCGCUGGCGGCCGAGCUGCCCGUGUGCGAGGCCUGCUGCGCCACCACCAGCAACCCUACGCCUUGUGUGCAGUGUUCGCGCAGCGUGUACUGUUCGCUGUCGUGCCGUGCGCGCGCGCACAACGUACACCGUUGGGAGUGCGCAGGCGCACAGGCAGACCUCUUUGCUACUAUUGGCAUUGCGCACUUAGCUCUAAGGGUGUUGUUGGUAACAGCGAAUGAAGGCUUCCCCGCGGUGCCGCUCGGGCAGCCGGCGCCUUCGUCCGCGUGCGACUUGUUCACCAGCUACUCACAGGUCGACGACCUCCGCAUAUACAGCGCGGACACGUCGCCAUUCUACAGGAUGUUUAAUCUCGUCACCAACUUCGAUAAGAUGAACAACGCUGAUUACAUACAGUAUGCUCUGACGGCGACAAUGCUGACACUAUACCUGGAGAAUUACACGGAGUUCUUCCGGUUCCUGCCGUCGAGGGUUCCGUACAGACUGACGGAGUCCCAGCUGCGCACGUUCGUGGCCGCCCUAAUGCUCAGGAGUCUCGGCCAACUGGUCUGCAAUGGUCACGCGGCGUUGUCUCUGCUCGUGGAUAACGAUGAAACUGGCUGCACGAUAUCUGAGCGGGAAGUGAGACGGGCCACCGCUAUAUACCCGUCUGCCGCCAUGAUGAACCACGCCUGCGACCCCAACAUCAUCAACACGUUCCACAACAGUCGGCUGAUAAUCAGGUGUUCCCGCGAACUGCCCGCUGGGGCCGAAGUCUUCAACUGCUAUGGGCCGCACAAGGCCCGCGAGCCCACGGCCCAUCGUCGGGCCCAACUCAGGGCCCAGUACUUGUUCAACUGCAACUGUUCAGCGUGCAAUGACAACGAGAGAAAGGAUUUUGUGCUGCUGUUUACGGCUUACGCGUGCCAAUCGUGCAAAGGGCCGGUGGUGUGGGGUCGCAGGACGUCGUGUCCGCAGUGCCACGCCGAGUUCCAGCUCGAGCGCGCUCUCAGUGCACUCGAGCACGCUGACGAACUACUGGCUCAGGCUGAUCGCGCGAGUAGCCUGGACGUGAGGUGUGAGCGCACGCAGGCGGCGCUGCGCGUGAAGCAGCUGGCGUGGCACCGGCACCACCGCGGGCUGCGGGCGCUCGCCGACCGCCUCGCCCGCCUCUACGCUGACCUUGGCGAGUUCAGCAAGAGUGUGGAACUCAUAAAGCAGAAUAUCCAAAGCCUCGAGUACCAGUUUGGAUCGUUCAGUGCUGAGGUGGCGCACGAGCUGAGGAAGCUGUCCGAGGUGAUGCUGGAGAGGAUCAUCAGGUCUCCGCAGAACCCUGACUACAGAGAUUGGUGCCUCGAAGGACACAAGAUAAUAAAGAAGGCGGUUCAGCUGACGGAUCUGAACUACGGUUCUUGGGAACCGCUAGUCAAACGUCUGAAAGAACAGGAGUCCCUCAUAGCCACCUUCUUAUCAGAAAGCAGGGCGCCCGACGACGACUGUGUUCACCAUAACUUACAUUAUAACCUUAAAAUAUAGUACACAUGUAUUCACGUUAUACAAUGGGGUCGUUGCCGUCAAAAUCUUUGAUGAUCACGUGUUUUUUAUGCGUUCAAAAUAUAAUUUAACUAGAAUUAAAAAGAAUUAUUAAUAAACAUGCUACGCAUUUACAAUGGUGCGACUUUUUUGCUAUACAAUGCCAAAUAGAGUGAUCAAGAUUGUUGGUUUUUAUUAACCACCCAGUGUUGCCCGGCGAAGAGGACACAGCGCCCUUAUUUAUCUAUAGACAGGCUGUUUUUUUCCCAGGUAAAUACCCUAUUCAGUUAACGGUAGUUUUAAUAAACCGAACACUACACUGCGUACAUGUUAACAUAUAAUUAUAAAACCAAUUGUCAUUAUCUUGUUAUUUUCUGUAAUUUUCCAGAUCAUUGUUGAUGUUUUAUUAAAUGUAACUCAAUAAUAUUAAGUUUGUACAAGAUUGGUGAUUAUGUGUGUACGUACACAAAGCAAGUUACAUUGUAACAUUACAAUAUCAUUCGUGUUUUAUAUCACCAUUUGCAUAACACUUUAAGUGCUCCUAAGACGUAGUCUGUUCAGUGAUGGGUUUUAACCCGAACCUGGUUUAAAACUGGGUGGGUUUAAACCAGACCCGGGUUUUAACCCAUCAGUGUGUAUGACUCAUUCACUCAUACAUUUAAACAAUAAACAUUUAAUUAGCACGGUACGUGUUAGGGCGGUAACACACCUGCACACUUGCAUGCCAAAUGCCAGCACGUGUCGCUGUAUACAAAAUCAUAGCACGUUGCACACGCCAUCUACUCGCCCGUUGGAGGAUACAUUUUCAAUACAUGAUCGAUGUUGCCUAUUGGAUAUGAUUCUUUAAUACAAACAUUUAACCUAAAAUUGUAGAUUAAUGCGAAUCGAUUCGGCUAUUUACCUAUUUAUUACAGUUUUUAUGGUCACUCGAUUUACUAAUGGACCAGAAGAGUAUAUUAAAUUUAAAAUAAUAAAAGUUUGUAAUAUUGUAAAUAUAUUAUAUACACUAAACUAGCCAAAUAUACCUAUAUAUAUGGGUAUAUAUAUAAAAUUUUUGCACUGUUUUAUACACUACAUUUUGCGCCUACGCACAUCAAGUGGAACAGGCGAGAUUCCUCACUGUAUUUAUUACAAAAUAUCGUCUAACUAUGAGUAUAUAAACACGAAAUACGAAAAAUUCUUAUUGUAACGGAUAAGACAACAUCUUUUUUAUUAUCUAAUUAGAUGAACUCGAAAAGUUACCUUUUGGAUAACGUAAACUAACAACCUAAAAAAAACCUCACAGGUUGCAAUAGUCACCUGGCUAUGCUUUUCGAGACUUGGUACCAGAAUAAAAACGCCCAACUACAAAGUUACGGCUAUUGCUAUAGAAUUGACAUUAUCUAAUAAGUAAAAUUUUAAUAGGGAUCUAAAGGGACUAACGACAAAUUCAAUUGCACCCGGGGAAUUGAAUCUAGAAGUGAAAAUAUGUUUAAUUAAAAUAUGAAUUACUAGAUAUUGCCCGGGGCUCCACUCCCGUGGGAGUUUUGACACAAAAUAUCAUUAUAUCUACACAAAAUAUAGCAAUCUUGGAUAAUAUACCCUUCUAAUGGCGAAUAAUUUUUGAAAUCGGUUUGGUGGUUUCGGAGUUUACCCUUGUGUGUUCAGUAUUGUUUAUAUAUGUUUUUUGUUUACAGAGAUAACUCAGCGUUUUUGUAUACAUAUGUUUAUAUUGUAGAUGAAUGCAUAGUCUUGUUCACUAAAAUAAUUACAUGUGAUGAUUAUAUUAUUAGGGACAGUUUUUACCCAAAAUGAAUUGAACAAUCAAUAUUGUACACUAGUAUCGAUUUAGACCUAACACCGAUAUAAUAUUAACCAAAAUAUACAUAUGUUAUACUUUUGUAUAGAAAUAAUGUAUUGUUGAUACAAAUAUGUUUGUUUGCUAAUAACAUAAUUUUAUUACUAGAAGUACCACCUAGUAAUAGAUAUCAUAUUUUUGAACAUAGCUUUAUAGCUUUUGCCGUGCGUUUACAAUAAUAUACUUUGUCAAUCAAGGCCUAUAUUUAAACUCCGUUUUUCAUAAAAAAAAAUGUCGUAUAUAAGCUAAACUAUGUAGUAUAAGCUAAACUAUGUUUGUCACUGUCGUACUUGACAAUAUUUGACAUUGACAGAAUGAGACAAAACAUAUUUCAAAAGUGCUUUAACUUUUUUAUUAGUGUAAUGUUUUGAACACUGCCCAAAUUACAAUAUGGUCAUUACAUAUAUAUUACAACAAUUUCCAAAAAUAAAACGAAUGAAAUUGUACACUCAUCACCGGGAUUUAUAAGGGAGAACAAAAAUAAAUAUAUUUUUUAAAUCGGUUUAAGUAAUUCAAAUGCAGGCCUACCAUCAACUCUUACGGAACGAUUCAAGUGCAACUCAGUUCAAUUUAGAAACCUAAAAUGAAAGGUAUUCAUACAAAAAAACAACUUGAUGGUACGAAUUUGCGAUGCAGAUCAGUUUAGGUCCUGAACUGCAUAGCUUAAGGUGCUUUAUCCCUGCACAUUAAUGCCACCUCACAUUUUCAUUAAUUUAUUUUAUUUAAUUUAAACAAAAUUGUUUUGCGUUCGGGCUCGGCUAAUUUUUUUUUUUCAAAUAGUGUAUUAUUUUCGAAAUAACAAGCUAGGAUGUUUAGCUGUAGUGCACCGUAGUUAAGAUAUUUAUAUACAUUUAAAAAAAAGGAAAAAUUUACAAAAUUUUCCUUGAAAUUAACCAGCGCUCCCAGCGGCAAAUUUAACCGCGUCAGCUUUAAGUCGUAUUCUUUACAUUGUUCCGGUAAUUGUAUUCCGAGUGUAUGUAGUCUAAUAUAUAUAAUCUACUAGCGGCCCCUCCCGGCUUUGCUCGAAUAAAACCAUCCGUUGCGUUAGUAAUAAAGAUCUAGAUACAUGAAACAGACAGCGGGAAGUGACUUUGUGUUUUAUACUAUGUAGUGAUACGUUUCGCGACAUGGGUUUUGGGACAUUUCAUGUUUAAGGGUAUAAUACGACGAAUACUGCUCUCAUUGACACCAAUACACUUUAGAUAAAGAUUUAAUAUAUGUAUAGGGCAGGUGGAGGGUUUCUGCUCGAGAAUUCUUGAGAAACUUAUUUUUAGUCGACAUGGGAAAAUUUUGUUUUAUUUUUUAUGCUUUUUCCAGUUUGAAUGGCAGUGAAUCAACAUGGCGGGAAUGUUACAAACAUUGUAUUUUUACUAAUAGGAUCUAAGUGUUUAGUGUGAGUUUACGCAGUCGGUCGCAGCCACAAAUCACAGUGUAGUAUAAAGCGACAAACAAACGUGAUUGGUUGGCUGCGCCGCCAGCGGUAAAAAGUGAACGCGACCAAGUUGAAAUUGUAUACUCACACUAUUUGCUCCCAAAAUCUGCUCAUUUUAGGGGAAGCGAAUGAAUGAUAUGAGCGGAAAUAAUCAACAAAAUACAUCGAAACAAUCCAUAAAAAUAAAUAUACAUUUAUAUAUAUAUACUUAUAGGCAUAAGUAAUAAAAUAAUGAAACUGUUGAAUGGAUUAAGCUAUUUAAGCGACGUACAAAUAUAUCUUUAAAGUGCACUUGUAAAUCACAGAAAUCUACAAUACAUAUAAAUUGGUAGGAACUUACCUGCAAUGCGGCUGCUUUUUCUAUUAGUCAUUGUCUUGCAAAAAUGGAGAUAUAGAAUUUGCUGUUUGGUUAACUAAUUGUGAGAGAUUAAUUAUAUUCUUCUAGUUUCGUGAAAUAUAAUUGCCAUUUUCGAGAAAGAAAUAUUAUUUCGCUAUUUGCUUACUAGCUAUGAAAUUAAAAUACUUUCGCAAAAAUGGAAAUUUCCAUUUUUGCGAAAGUAUUUUAGUAAAUAAAUAUAAUGGGACAAAUCACACCCAAGCUAACCCCAAAAUUUGUUGCGCCUUGUCAUGGCCUUUUUCUUUUACAAAAAGAAAUUAUAUGUAUGUACGCUUUUUUGUUUUCCCUUUGCAUUUUACACACAAAUAUGAAGUUACUGGACACUCGCUCACUAAAUAACAUUGUAAUAAGUCAAUCACUAGCUUAUACACAAUACACCUUUAGCCAUUAAUGUUUAAUAUAGUUAAUAAAUCAUUCCCUCUGUGGAAACUUAUUAGUGAGAUUUUUAUAAAUGUUGAAUAGUUUAAAAUAUAUGUAUACGCGCAACGUUCUAAAUCAUAAGCAAUAGCAGUGUACCUUAUUCUUAAGUAAAUAAAGGCUUUCAUUCGAUA
This is an RNA transcript of Plodia interpunctella (Indianmeal moth), 6798 nucleotides long. It is a transcript of the gene named SET and MYND domain-containing protein 4-like, with no coding region annotated. The transcript is spliced from 16 exons. Lineage: Eukaryota; Metazoa; Arthropoda; Insecta; Lepidoptera; Pyralidae. The record is from RefSeq and is a predicted model, not a curated record.